Molecule: transfer RNA, 76 nt
Filed under: Elusimicrobia bacterium CG_4_10_14_0_2_um_filter_63_34
Lineage: Bacteria; Pseudomonadati; Elusimicrobiota
Also listed under: 2 other names
Description: tRNA-Ala
Rfam family: tRNA
About the family: Transfer RNA (tRNA) molecules are approximately 80 nucleotides in length. Their secondary structure includes four short double-helical elements and three loops (D, anti-codon, and T loops).
Source: RNAcentral
GGGCGUGUAGCUCAGCUGGGAGAGCGCUACCUUCGCAAGGUAGAGGUCGUGGGUUCGAUCCCCAUCACGUCCACCA